AUUGAACGCUGGCGGCAUGCCUUACACAUGCAAGUCGAACGUGAAAGGGGGGCAACCCCCGAGUAGAGUGGCGGACGGGUGAGUAACGCGUGGGAACCUUCCCAGUGGUACGGAAUAGCCCAGGGAAACUUGGGGUAAUACCGUAUAAGCCCCAUGGGGGAAAGAUUUAUCGCCAUUGGAUGGGCCCGCGUCGGAUUAGCUAGUUGGUGAGGUAAUGGCUCACCAAGGCGACGAUCCGUAGCUGGUCUGAGAGGAUGAUCAGCCACACUGGGACUGAGACACGGCCCAGACUCCUACGGGAGGCUG
RNAcentral lists this ribosomal RNA (306 nucleotides) under uncultured Pseudomonadota bacterium. Its description in RNAcentral is "bacterial SSU rRNA". It matches the Rfam family "Bacterial small subunit ribosomal RNA", at positions 30 to 351 of the family's 1533-position model. Lineage: Bacteria; Pseudomonadati; Pseudomonadota. The record is from RNAcentral.